Molecule: transfer RNA, 90 nt
Filed under: Rhodospirillaceae bacterium
Lineage: Bacteria; Pseudomonadati; Pseudomonadota; Alphaproteobacteria; Rhodospirillales; Rhodospirillaceae
Also listed under: 1 other name
Description: tRNA-Ser
Rfam family: tRNA
About the family: Transfer RNA (tRNA) molecules are approximately 80 nucleotides in length.
Source: RNAcentral
GGAGAGGUGCCUGAGUGGUUGAAAGGACCGGUCUUGAAAACCGGCGUACGUGCAAGCGUACCGUGGGUUCGAAUCCCACCCUCUCCGCCA